AUGGCGGCGAGCAAGGGAGCAAGGAAGAGCCUGGUGUCGAGGACCCUGGAGCGGUGCAGGUCCGGGCUGAACAGCGGCGGCAAGUCGUCGGCGGCGGUGGCGCCGGGGUGCUUCUCGGUGUACGUGGGCCCGGAGCGGGAGCGGUUCGUGGUGCGCGCCGACCGCGCCAACCACCCGCUCUUCCGCCGCCUCCUCGACGACGCAGAGCAGGAGUACGGCUACGCGGCGCAGGGGCCGCUCGCGCUGCCCUGCUCCGUCGACGCCUUCCUCGACGUGCUCUGGCACAUGGACCACGACGUCCAGGACGACGACGAUGGCGAGGCCGCCGUGGCCCCGUCGACGCCCAUAUGCGGCCUGCAGGGCGCCGGCAGCGGGAACAUCAAGGAGGUGAGCUCUAGGCGCGCAGAGAUUUCAACAAGUGACCACCCGCUCUUCCGCCGCCUCCUCGACGACGCCGAGCAGGAGUACGGCUACGCGGCGCAGGGGCCCCUCACGCUGCCCUGCUCCGUCGACGCCUUCCUCGACGUGCUCUGGCACAUGGACCACGACGUCCACGAUGACGACGACGGCGAGGUCGCCUCGGCGCCGACGACGCCGAUUUGCGGCCUACAGCGCGGCGGCAGCGGGAACAUCAAGGUCCGGCCUGCGGGGUACCGGGUGCUCAGCCCGGCCAAGUCCACGCCGGCGUCCUUCUUCUUCUCGCAGACGGCGGCUGGCGGUAGGUGGUGA
RNAcentral lists this ribosomal RNA (729 nucleotides) under Triticum aestivum (bread wheat). Its description in RNAcentral is "partial small subunit ribosomal RNA". The record is from RNAcentral. Lineage: Eukaryota; Viridiplantae; Streptophyta; Magnoliopsida; Poales; Poaceae.